RNAcentral lists this ribosomal RNA (457 nucleotides) under uncultured bacterium. RNAcentral's name for it is "bacterial SSU rRNA". It matches the Rfam family "Bacterial small subunit ribosomal RNA", at positions 29 to 507 of the family's 1533-position model. The record is from RNAcentral.
AUUGAACGCUGGCGGAAUGCUUUACACAUGCAAGUCGAACGGCAGCACGGGGCAACCUGGUGGCGAGUGGCGAACGGGUGAGUAAUACAUCGGAACGUGCCCAAUCGUGGGGGAUAACGUAGCGAAAGUUACGCUAAUACCGCAUACGAUCUACGGAUGAAAGCGGGGGAUCGCAAGACCUCGCGCGAGUGGAGCGGCCGAUGUCAGAUUAGGUAGUUGGUGGGGUAAAGGCUCACCAAGCCAACGAUCUGUAGCUGGUCUGAGAGGACGACCAGCCACACUGGAACUGAGACACGGUCCAGACUCCUACGGGAGGCAGCAGUGGGGAAUUUUGGACAAUGGGCGAAAGCCUGACCCAGCGACGCCGCGUGGAGGACGAAGCCCUUCGGGGUGUAAACUCCUUUUCUCAGGGAAAAGGAUGAUGGUACCUGAGGAAUAAGCCCCGGCUAACUACGUG